CAAACCGUUUCUGAGACCUAUUGCAUCAUUUUAUGGUAAAAACCUGGCUCAAAACUCUGUUGUACACAAUCGGAUACUUGGAUAAAAUACUAUUAA
Long non-coding RNA from Melanotaenia boesemani (Boeseman's rainbowfish), 96 nucleotides. RefSeq lists it as uncharacterized. The transcript is spliced from 3 exons. Lineage: Eukaryota; Metazoa; Chordata; Actinopteri; Atheriniformes; Melanotaeniidae. The record is from RefSeq and is a predicted model, not a curated record.